CUUAAUUUGACUCAACACGGGAAAUCUUACCGGGUCCGGACGUAUCGAGGAUUGACAGAUAGUUAUACAUGCCCUACAAGCAAGUAGGAGUCAGGUUUUAAACCUAAUGGCUCUUUCAUGAUUAUAUGAUAGGUGGUGCAUGGCCGUUCUUAGUUCGUGGAGUGAUCUGUCUGCUUAAUUGCGUUUCAAAUUUUUAACCGAGGACCGGGUUUUGGUUUGGCUAGUGGUCCUACGAUGACUGUGAACUGUCAUGUCUUCGGANGUACGACUAUCGGUCUAGGAUCACAUGACUUGCCCCUGGGACUCUUUUGAACGCAACGGACGUGAUUGCAACCCCUUGUUGAGAUUAGAGAUAGUCUCGAUAUUCACUGGCCAAACUGGCUGCUUUAUGCAGUCUUGUUGAAUGGUGGAUAAACUCGGGGGACUGCUGACUAUAACCAUUUCUCAAAACAGAGGAAGGUUGCGGCAAUAACAGGUCU
This 479-nucleotide ribosomal RNA is filed under the name Globigerinoides ruber albus. Its description in RNAcentral is "SSU rRNA". It matches the Rfam family "Eukaryotic small subunit ribosomal RNA", at positions 1189 to 1463 of the family's 1831-position model. The record is from RNAcentral. Lineage: Eukaryota; Foraminifera; Rotaliida; Globigerinidae.